RNAcentral lists this non-coding RNA (58 nucleotides) under Peach latent mosaic viroid. The record is from RNAcentral.
CUCAUAAGUCUGGGCUUAGCCCACUGAUGAGCCGUUGAGAUACGGCGAAACUUAUGUG